AAGAUAUACAUGGCCAGUUUAAAAUGGGCUUUGGUGGCACAUUAGAGAUAAAGACCUCAAGGGAAAUAAAGAUUUCAGGAGCUAUCGGUCCCUGUGUGUCUCUUAAUUCUAAAGGACCUUGCGUGUCUGAAAAUGAGAUUGGAACAGGUGGCACUUGUCAGUGGAAGAUAUGUGGACUUAGUCCCACUACAACCUUAGCCAUAUAUUUUGAAGUUGUUAAUCAGCAUAAUGCUCCAAUUCCCCAAGGAGGGCGAGGUGCAGUCCAGUUCGUGACCCAGUAUCAGCACUCAAGUGGGCAGAGACGCAUCCGAGUGACCACGAUUGCUAGGAACUUGUCUGUUACAGAACUCACAGUGGGUGGGGAGAGCUGUAGAAGACCUCAUUCCGAGUACUGGACUAGCAAUGAAUAGCAGCCUCCACUCACUUCCGAUGUAUUAGAAAGCCCUUCCUUAAAAUGAAUGUGUCAGAAAUUUGGAGAGUAUCACAAAGAUGAUCCAAAUUCCUUCCGGUUUUCAGAAACAUUUUCCCUUUAUCCACAGUUUAUGUUUCAUUUAAGAAGAUCUCCCUUCUUGCAAGUUUUUAACAACAGUCCUGAUGAGAGUUCAUACUAUCGCCACCAUUUCAUGCGCCAGGAUCUGACACAGUCUCUAAUCAUGAUCCAGCCCAUUCUGUAUGCCUAUUCCUUCAGUGGCCCACCAGA
This 700-nucleotide long non-coding RNA is filed under the name Rattus norvegicus (Norway rat). Its description in RNAcentral is "long non-coding RNA NONRATT025045". The record is from RNAcentral. Lineage: Eukaryota; Metazoa; Chordata; Mammalia; Rodentia; Muridae.